GGCAGCAGUAGGGAAUCUUCGGCAAUGGGGGGAACCCUGACCGAGCAACGCCGCGUGAGUGAAGAAGGUUUUCGGAUCGUAAAGCUCUGUUGUAAGAGAAGAACGUUGAGUAGAGUGGAAAGUUACUCAAGUGACGGUAUCUUACCAGAAAGGGACGGCUAACUACGUGCCAGCAGCCGCGGUAAUACGUAGGUCCCGAGCGUUGUCCG
Molecule: ribosomal RNA, 209 nt
Filed under: Streptococcus criceti HS-6
Lineage: Bacteria; Bacillati; Bacillota; Bacilli; Lactobacillales; Streptococcaceae
Description: partial 16S ribosomal RNA
Rfam family: Bacterial small subunit ribosomal RNA
Source: RNAcentral